RNAcentral lists this long non-coding RNA (1200 nucleotides) under Homo sapiens (human). RNAcentral describes it as "long intergenic non-protein coding RNA 635". Lineage: Eukaryota; Metazoa; Chordata; Mammalia; Primates; Hominidae. The record is from RNAcentral.
GUGUGGUCUCUUCAGCAUAGCAACAGCAGCGUAGCUGAACAUCUUACGGAUGGCCCAGGGCUCCAAAGGCUCGUUUCCUAAGUGAGAGAGAGCCUGGCUGAAGCUGUAUUACCAUUCAUUCUCCAGCCUCCGAAGUCUCAAAGCAUCACUUCCACCAUACUCUAACUGUCAAGACAAACACAAAGGCCCAGAAACUGCCAGACUGUCUUCUGAAGUGGCUAUAAUAUUUACACUCCCAUCAGCAGUGUAGAAGGGGUCUCACUAUGUUGUCUGGAGUGCUGUGGUGGAGUGGAGUGGCUAUUCACAGAGCCUGUUCUGCUGGGACACAGAAUCACUUGCUCCAUCUCAUACAUUGAUGAUGAUUAAUUUGUAUGUGUACCUUCCAAAAAAGAUGGUUGUGUUUGAAUGGAGGCCUUCUGGACAGGAAAAUAUGGAGAGUGCGUGCUUUGGAUUCAAGACUGGGAAUGAGGGGACCAGAAACCUAUUCUGUGGCUGUUUCUUGUUAGGACUUUCCUAAGCCUCUGGAAAAGGUUCAAUCCUGCUGAUGCUCUCCAUGGAGAUGGUCAGCAAGUGCAAAGUACAAUUAACAUUUGAGUCUGUCUGAGUCAUGAAGAAAUGGAGAUUACUGAAAAUAAUUCAUUUUGGUAUCUUCUUACAUCCUGAGAGACUAAUCUUUCCAAGUUCAUCUGAGGCUCCUCUUCUCCAUGACAACCUCAUCCAGGGAUUUCUUCCUGUCCUGGUGUUUUAUGACAUGUGGAAGGGGACUGUAGCAGGUGAUCUCCAAAGUCUCUGGAGACUUACUAAUGUGCAUCCUCAUCUCGCUUGUAAGGAUAAUAGCCUUCCUCCAAACCUCACACACUUUUGGAGGAGAUCACUUUUUUUAAAGUGCAUGGAAAUGUUUUGAAACAGUGAAAUCUAUAAUGAUAGGUUUCAUAAUUCUAACAUCCACACCAUAUGAAUCACAUCCUUCCUGAGAUAAUGAGCACACAAUUGCCUGGAUACCUGAAGGAAUGGAGACAGCGGCAGAAAACACUGCAGAGAGGUGGAAACAUCCGUUAAUAUUUUAAAAUCCCAUUACUGCUACCAACAAUAAUAAUGGAUGCAUAGAAAUAGAUCUGGAUUAGCUGAGCUUGAAACAGUCCAUCUCACACACACACAAAAGAAUUUCAGGUAAUGAAGAAAAGAAAAGGAAAAAAAUAA